This 233-nucleotide long non-coding RNA is filed under the name Homo sapiens (human). Its description in RNAcentral is "SLC8A1 antisense RNA 1". The record is from RNAcentral. Lineage: Eukaryota; Metazoa; Chordata; Mammalia; Primates; Hominidae.
GUUUACUGUGGGUUUGUCAUAUACAGCCUUUGUUAUGUUGAGAAGUUUACGAAGACAAAAGAGGAAUGACGACUCAGCAUAUUGUAAUUAUCCAGUUGAUAUUUAUCUUGUUCCAGUCACCUUUAGAAAGCUGUUUGCUCUCAAAUCUCCAGGCAGCCUCUAUUGAUUGAUCUGAGUUGGCAGAUGAGUUGGCAGGCAAGGGCAGUGACUGGAAGCUGGGAGAGAGGGUCAAC